RNAcentral lists this ribosomal RNA (462 nucleotides) under uncultured bacterium. Its description in RNAcentral is "partial 16S ribosomal RNA". It matches the Rfam family "Bacterial small subunit ribosomal RNA", at positions 29 to 507 of the family's 1533-position model. The record is from RNAcentral.
AGUGAACGCUGGCGGCGUGCCUAAUACAUGCAAGUCGAACGGAGAUUCAGUAGCUUGCUAUUUACUCUUAGUGGCGCACGGGUGAGUAAUAUAUAGCUAACUUGCCCAUUACUAAGGGACAACAGUUGGAAACGACUGCUAAUACCUUAUACUCCGUAUCUAUAUAAGUAGAUACGGGAAAGUUUUUCGGUAAUGGAUAGGGCUAUAUCGUAUCAGCUAGUUGGUAAGGUAAUGGCUUACCAAGGCUAUGACGCGUAACUGGUCUGAGAGGAUGAUCAGUCACACUGGAACCGAGACCCGGUCCAGACUCCUACGGGAGGCAGCAGUAGGGAAUAUUGCUCAAUGGGGGAAACCCUGAAGCAGCAACGCCGCGUGGAGGAUGACACUUUUCGGAGCGUAAACUCCUUUUCUUGGGAAAGAAUUAUGACGGUACCCAAGGAAUAAGCACCGGCUAACUCCGUG